UACAAGCCUCACUAAGGUGAAACCGCGAAUGGCUCAUUAAAUCACACCUAAUGUACUGGACAGUCUCAGUUACUUGGAUAACUGCGGUAAUUCUGGAGCUAAUACAUGCGUACUAGCCGCGACUCACGGAGCGGUGCUUUUAUUAGAUCAAAACCAAACGGCCUCGAGCCGUCCCCCUGGUGAUUCUGAAUAACUUUGGGCUGAUCGCACGGACUCGUUCCGGCGACGUGUCCUUCCAAGGUGUGCCCUAUCAACUGUCGACUGUGGCAUAGACGCCCACAGUGGUUUUGACGGGUAACGGGGAAUUAGGGUUCGAUUCCGGAGAGGGAGCCUGAGAAACGGCUACCACUUCUACGGAAGGCAGCAGGCACGCAAAUUACCCACUGGCCGAAGGCCGAGGUAGUGACGAAAAAUAACGAUACCGGACUCAUCCGAGGCCCGGUAAUCGGAAUGAGUACACUUUAAAUCCUUUAACGAGGAACAAUUGGAGGGCAAGUCUGGUGCCAGCAGCCGCGGUAAUUCCAGCUCCAAUAGCGUAUAUUAAAGUUGUUGCGGUUAAAAAGCUCGUAGUUGGAUCUCGGCGGGCAGGGGGUGGUUCGCUCUUCAGCGCUACUGCCCCGCUUUGCCCGUGUGAUUGGCGGAGGUUUCGGGGUGCUCUUCGUUGAGUGACUCGGAGCGCCGUCAGGUUUACUUUGAAAAAAUUAGAGUGCUCAAAGCAGGCUUUUCACGCUUGAAUAUUCGUGCAUGGAAUAAUGGAAUAGGAACUCGUUUCUAUUUUGUUGGUUUUCGGAAAUCGAGUUAAUGAUU
Molecule: ribosomal RNA, 807 nt
Filed under: uncultured marine eukaryote
Lineage: Eukaryota
Description: SSU rRNA
Rfam family: Eukaryotic small subunit ribosomal RNA
Source: RNAcentral